GAGAAUAGUAAGCAUUGGACACAAAAUGGUUUAGGCAAAUAAUGAUGAACAAAAAUGGUCAGUCUGUGUUCCUGCUGACCCAGCACAGUGGGGACGCUGUGUAGGACAUGACCUUUGGGGGAAAGGACACAAGAACUCAGCGUGGGGGAUCCAGAAAAGAAGUCGCACGUAUUGAAGCCAGUAACGCCAAGCCAGUGAAUUCUCCUUGACGAGAAAGACCCACUUACUCUGCAGAAGAGAUAUAUGACAGCUGACAAUCCCUGGAGGAGAAUCUUUCUACUAAAUUGUAACUCCAGGUUGAAGAACUUCUACUUAUAGGCAUCUAUUCAACGAAGACGAAUCCUGGAAUGGGGAUGGAAAUGAUGGCUCAUGUCUUAGCAAACUACCAAACUGAUCCGAGAGGACAGGGAAGUCAGUGUGGGCGGCUCUAAGGAGCCUCCCUCUCUACAGCUGCGGCUCAGAGGAUUACGGCGCUUCAUCCACAAGGCAACAUUGCACAAGUAGCUUUUGAACAAAAGUCAUGGAUACUAUUAAUGAUAUGGUAAUCCUUAAUCGAGCUACCUCCCAGUAGUGAUUAUACUGACAUGGGAAGAAUAUCUAAGUCGUGGAGGCAGCCCACAACAACACUGUGUCAUUGUUCACCCCGGGCUCGACCAGGACUAACUUUUACCAGCAUCUCUAACGUCACCUUUCCCCUGAUGCCUCCCCACAACCCCUGGCCCCAGCUCCCAUUCCCGCCCCAUCAUAGCAAAAAAGUAGCAAAGAAAACCCUGAUCCUAAAUCUUUUUCUGGAUUUUUUUUUGCAAGUUCCCACACACAUUUAGUGUCGUCUCAAAAUUCACGCUGUCAACUGUCUCUAGGAAUCAUUUCCAUCUGAGAACAGACCACACAAAGCCAAGGUCCUGGAUGACUGACAACCUGAGAUUGCAGACCUCCGAGAAAUUGAAGUAGGCUCUAUAAAGUCUGGGCAGCCCCGUCUUCCAAAGGCUGCUUCUCAAGUCCACACACACACUUUGGAAGGAGAAUCCUGCUCUUGGACGU
RNAcentral lists this long non-coding RNA (1041 nucleotides) under Homo sapiens (human). Its description in RNAcentral is "non-protein coding LINC02436:13". Lineage: Eukaryota; Metazoa; Chordata; Mammalia; Primates; Hominidae. The record is from RNAcentral.